GACGAACGCUGGCGGCGUGCUUAACACAUGCAAGUCGAACGGAAAGGCCCUGCUUUUGUGGGGUGCCAGAGUGGCGAACGGGUGAGUAACAUGUGAGUAACCUGCCUUUGACUUUGGGAUAACUUCAGGAAACUGGGGCUAAUACCGGCUAGGAGCUCCUGCUGCAUGGUGGGGGUUGGAAAGCUUGGGCGGUUGGGGAUGGACUCGCGGUUUAUCAGCUUGUUGGUGGGGUAGUGGCUUACCAAGGCUUUGACGGGUAGUCGGCCUGAGAGGGUGGCCGGCCACAUGGGGACUGAGAGACGGCGCAGACGCCUACAGGAGGCAGCAGGGGGGAAUAUGGCACAAUGAGCGGAAGCCUGAUACGACGACGCCGCGAGCGGGAUGACGGCCAUCGGGUUGGAAACCGCUUUCGCCUGUGACGAAGCGGGAGUGACGGUAAUGGGUAAAUAAGCACCGGCUAACUACGUG
RNAcentral lists this ribosomal RNA (468 nucleotides) under uncultured bacterium. RNAcentral's name for it is "partial 16S ribosomal RNA". It matches the Rfam family "Bacterial small subunit ribosomal RNA", at positions 28 to 507 of the family's 1533-position model. The record is from RNAcentral.